GAUGGCGGCCGUGGACCUGGUUGCCGAGUUUCCCCAGCCCGCCGGUGCUGCGCGCUGGGCAGAGGUUAUGGCUCGCUUCGCCGCCCGGUUGGGCGCGCAGGGCCGACGGGUGGUGUUGGUCACUUCUGGCGGCACGAAGGUCCCUCUGGAAGCCCGGCCUGUGCGCUUCCUGGACAACUUCAGCAGUGGGCGGCGCGGUGCUGGCUCGGCCGAAGCCUUCUUGGCCGCGGGCUACGGGGUCUUGUUCCUGUACCGCGCGCGCUCUGCCUUCCCCUUUGCCCACCGCUUCCCGCCCCAGACCUGGCUGUCUGUUCUGCGGCCCUCCGGCCAAGCGCCUUCGGGCUUGCUGAGCCUGGAGGCCGAAGAAAAAGCACUCCCGGGCUUCGCCGCAGCUCUGCAGAGUUACCAGGAGGCUGAGGCUGCCGGCACUUUUCUAGCCAUAGAGUUCACCACUUUGGCAGACUAUUUGCAUUUGCUGCAGGCUGCAGCCCAGGCUCUCAACCCACUAGGUUCUUCUGCGAUGUUUUACCUGGCUGCGGCCGUGUCAGAUUUCUAUGUUCCUGCCUCUGAAAUGCCUGAACACAAGAUCCAGUCAUCUGGGGGCCCACUGCAGGUGAUGGGCGCUUCUCUUCCAGAGAUCUGAUUUCCUAUAACCAAUCUUGGGUUAAUUUCCUUUUGAUCUGGAGAUGGCCUUUCUGCAUUCCGUAUGUGCUAGGCACUAGGGAUACAGAGAUGAAUAAGACACCGCCCUCCCUCAAGAAUCUCACAAUCUGUUGAGGUUGCUGGACACAGACAUAAUUACAGUACAGAGUGAUAAAUGCUCUAGUAGAGAUAACAAUGAAGAUGGUGCCAAAAAUGCUUUCUCCUUUGGUUAAAGACUGGGCUCCCAAAGCAUUUAUAAUUUCCUUUAAGUUGGAGACUGACCCCUCCAUCAUAAUUGAUCGUGCACGGAAUGCUUUAGAAGUUUAUCGACAUCAAGUGGUGGUGGCUAAUAUCCUUGAUUCACGACGAUCUUCUGUGGUUAUUAUAACCAAAGACUCAGAGACCAAGUUACUGUUAUCAGAGGAAGAAGUAGAAAAAGGCAUAGAGAUAGAAGAGAAGAUAGUGGAUGAUCUUCAGUCUCGACAUACUGCUUUUAUACAUGACAAAAACUGAGGUAAAAAGCCUUUAUUUAUAGGAUCAAAAAUUGUUCAGUGGACCAGGGCCCUCAUAGGUGGCGAGAAGUAGAAUAAAUCCUUUGCUUUCAUAAAGACAGAAAAUGAAGGGGAAAAGCAGUGAGUGGUGGGCAGACUAAUGUGGCUCGGCAUCUGUCUUUUAAAAACCUUUCAGUACUCAAAAAAUGAAAGCAAAGGCAAAUCUGUUACGACCGAACCACCUGACAAACUCACCUGAAUGUUAUCUUGAUUUUGAGAAUGACUAGCUGUUUCUCAGCUUAAAAAAAAAAAAAAGCUUAUUGGGUAUCAUAUUCCUCAAAAUAUACUUGUGGGGCCUGAAUAUCAGCCUUCUUCACACUAUAAAAAGGAUGAUGGAUGCCUGAAUGGCCAUGCUUAUUUUGUUGAUACUUACUAUGUGGUAGGCCCUGAGGAUUUUGAAGAUUCGAAGGUGAAUUGUUGUUCAGUCGCUAAGUCGUGUCCAGCUCUGUGACCCCAUGGACUACAGCAUGCCAGGCUCCCCUGUUCUUCACUAUCUUCCAGAGUUAGCUCAAAAAGAUGAAUAAACAUGUCUAGUUUGGGAAAUGGGUAUGUAAAAAUUAAGUACAAUAAAGUAUGUGCCCCAAAAUCAAUAAAUGAUGUUGUUUUUUGGAAAUUUAGUAAAAACGGGUGUAGGAGAGAAGGACACCUCCCCAAAGAUAGAUUAGCUGUAGAUUGAUGAUUAUCCCACUACAUUUACUUCUUGCUUCUUGUUCUAGACUCACUUCAUAUUUGAGUUAAGAAUUUACCUUUGAAAUAUUUUAUAACUGCUCUUGUGGGAAAGUUAAGCUGGAGGCCAGGCGGGACACAGCUGGUGACCACUGACGUGAAGGAGAUAAAGAGUAUGGGUUUUGGAGUUGUCUUAGCCAUUUCACCCUUCCAGCUGUGCCACCUAUUCACUUUGUAAACUUAGAUACCUGACUUAAUCUGAAGUUUCCUCAUCUAUAAAAAGGUGGUAAUUUUUCUGCAAAGUAACACCAUUUGUUGUGGGGAUUAAAUAAAUAAAAUGGUGCCGGUAAAGCAUGAGCCUGGCAUUUGACACAUAAUUUGCACAGUAAAUGGUUGCAAUUGCUAAUUUUCUCACUUAGCAAGGCAGUGUUACUGCUGGUGCCCUGCUUGAUUCCUGAAUCCUUGAGAAGUUUUCAAAGCUCUCACUGUCCUGAGCUUUGGGUUGGGAGUGCAAAAUAAGUAGACCAGAGAAGUACCCUCAGUGAUCCAUAGGAUGGUCCAGAAUGCAGUGUGAAAAACUGUCAUUAAGAACUAGGUAUAAAAAAGUACUUGACAUAAAUGAGUUAAAAUGCAAUUCAUGGAGUGUGUUGGGAAGAGUAGUCCAAUGUAUCUGUCUGAUAAUAGAAGUAUAAUAAACUUUGAGAUGUGCACAUAAGUGCCAAGAUACACCUAAAUAUGUCAUCAGAUCAGGAAAUGUGACUUCAUUAAAUCAGGAAACAGGAGAAGUAACUGCAGCAAUCAGGACUUCUCUGGAAGCAGCAAUCCCAUUGAACAAAAAUCUUAAAUUAAUUUCUGAUCCAAAUAGCAAAAUCUAAAAAACAACAUACUGUAGACAGUGACUGCAAUACUAAAGGAGCAUGAAGUAAAAGAUUGACUUCUUCCCUCCUCUACAUCUGUAGGUUCAUGUGGAUGAUGGCUGUCAUUAUCUUUGAAUGUAUAAUGAGAAUAAAUGGAGCUAGAACUAAAAGUGA
Molecule: non-coding RNA, 2890 nt
Organism: Odocoileus virginianus texanus
Lineage: Eukaryota; Metazoa; Chordata; Mammalia; Artiodactyla; Cervidae
Source: RefSeq, a predicted model, not a curated record